GGAGGGAUGGCAGAGUGGUCGAAUGCGCCGGACUCGAAAUCCGGUAUACGGUCAAACGUAUCCAGGGUUCGAAUCCCUGUUCCUCCGCCA
This 90-nucleotide transfer RNA is filed under the name Rhodoferax sp. Its description in RNAcentral is "tRNA-Ser". It matches the Rfam family "tRNA". From Rfam's summary of the family: Transfer RNA (tRNA) molecules are approximately 80 nucleotides in length. RNAcentral also lists the same sequence under 1 other name. The record is from RNAcentral. Lineage: Bacteria; Pseudomonadati; Pseudomonadota; Betaproteobacteria; Burkholderiales; Comamonadaceae.